GUUGAUGGUACUGGAGAAGGACU
Molecule: non-coding RNA, 23 nt
Filed under: Cricetulus griseus (Chinese hamster)
Lineage: Eukaryota; Metazoa; Chordata; Mammalia; Rodentia; Cricetidae
Source: RNAcentral